This 254-nucleotide ribosomal RNA is filed under the name uncultured bacterium. RNAcentral's name for it is "partial 16S ribosomal RNA". It matches the Rfam family "Bacterial small subunit ribosomal RNA", at positions 524 to 776 of the family's 1533-position model. The record is from RNAcentral.
UACAGGGGGUGCAAACGUUGCUCGGAAUCAUUGGGCGUAAAGCGCACGUAGGCGGUCUGUUAUGUCGGAUGUGAAAGCCCUUGGCUCAACUGAGGAAGUGCAUCCGAAACUGGCAGGCUAGAGUACUAAAGAGGGUCGCGGAAUUCCCGGUGUAGAGGUGAAAUUCGUAGAUAUCGGGGAGGAACACCGGUGGCGAAGGCGGCGACCUGGGUAGAUACUGACGCUGAGGUGCGAAAGCGUGGGGAGCAAACAGG